CACAGUUGGUAUGAGGUGUUUGUGUCGGUGUGCUGCGUGUGGUUUUCACCGAACAUGUCUAUUAGAUAAUCAUACCUGUUCCAGUGUGAGAUCCCUGCCUGUGAGAAGAGGUGGCUGACAGAUGGAGGUGUUUGUUGCAGUUGGACAUUGAACUCGGGCUGGAUAAUGGACCGCGAUUAGCCGCACCAUAAUCACUGGAUUCCAGCAACACGGCUGUCGAUAACCGGUAGUCCCAGAGAGGUCAAGCUUUUCUCAAGCAUGUUUCAAAUCAAAUGGCUUCUGAGAAUGAACAAGUGGUGAUAGCAUUAAGUCUCCACUGGAGCUAGUAUUUUAAGUCUAUUCCAUAAGCACAAAAAUCAUUUUCACUGAAAUUCUUCCUUUAUAAUUCAACUUUUGGUAAUUCUACCCUCACAUAUUGAUAUUAUUGUGAUACAAUCCAGCAUGAAGUUUAAAUAACUAUUUGUGUUUUAAGAGGAAGAUUCAAUACAUUGUUUUUUUGUUUUGUUUUUUAUAAAGGCGAGGCAUAUCCUGCACUAGCAAAUUUUUGUGUGAGAUGAACUUUUGAUGGAAUGAAAAAAAAACUUUUCUAUUUGAUGUUUAAUGUUUUUUUUUUUUUUUUAAUCUUUUAGUUUUUUCAGUUCUCGUUCCGUUCUGAUUGCUACUUUUCUCUGCGUUUUGCACAUCGUCUUCUGAAACCUAAAAAUGGGGCUCUUUGUUGCCUGGAGCUACAUCUCGAUCUCUCCAUCUCUCUUAAGACUGUACAACUUUAAAGUACGUAUGACAUUGUCAUUUCUUUGUUUGUAUGUUUUGCUUUGUGGUGUGAAAAUGAACAUGGCCAAAUACCCCUGAGACAUUCUCCUGCAAAAUAUUUUGAUCUCUAAUCCAAUUAUGGACUUUCACCUUGUUUGCACUUUAGAUGUCCACAAAAAGAAAAAGCAGAAUAAGAAAGUGAAAAAAUGGUGUGACUGACAGAAAAAAACCUUUCCAAUUACUGUACUCAGUCCUCUACCUCUCCUAAUCUGUCUGACUGGUGACUCCAUGGAUUUUUAAAUGUGUUUUGUGUUGUCGACCAUUCCAGCGUGACCUCUUGCACCUUCCCCAUAACCCUCUGCCCUUACAAAAAAUACAGGGGAGUCAUGGUAUGCACCAGUAAUGACUUUCUAUUCCCCACAUCAGCGCCCUGCCAGCAGCACACUGACAGCUGGCAUCACAAUUCAUUAUGUGUCUGCUGGAAAAGGCUUCAAAGAGCCAGGGAGAAGCUCUCUCCAUAUUUCACUCUGUAGACCUGUCAGUAAAAUAAUCACCAACACUGACAAGUUGCCAGUUGGUUAUUUUUUUAUUUACUCCUUAUUCUUUUUUUUUCAGGCAGAUGUUUUGAGAGCACUGAUCCUGAUUUCAGGGCACACUUACUGUUCUUUGUCCCUCACUUGAAGUAACAUACUUUCUCAUCAGCCCCUCCUUGCAUUAUCUCAUUCAUCACUGUCAACGGAUGGUGAAGUAAAAAUCUUGAUUUUGCUGUAAAAGCAAGAAGAGCGAUUGUGCAGGUUGUCUGGUGGGAGGCAACCUGUCUCCUAACAAUGUUGGUCUAUCUUGGACUGGCUACAGUCACUCUCAGACAGAUUGGCGAAGGCUUGCAAAUAACUGCUGUUUAAUUGAUAAAGGCAGACAGACACAGCCAGCAGAUUGCAAUCAAUCUCAAUCGGCCUGCAUCGAUGAGCAACACUCGUCUGCAAUGCAACUCUUUGCAAUUGGAAAUUUGACUCAACUGGUUGCCAACUGGUCAACUGCAUUUCUCUUUCAACUCAGUGAGUUUCUGUCUGGACCCUGAAUCUAAAUAAUUCUUGUAAAUGUCUGUGUGUGUCGGAGAUCUGUGAUUUUUCUUUCUUUUUUCAUUUUAUUACAGUUCAUUACAGUAUUAUGAUGAACAGAUUGCAUGCAAUUGACAACUUGACCCCAUUUAGUCACAAACUGAUAGCAGACUGAUAGCACGCUUUGAAGCAAAUAAAGUAAAUUAACUAUGGCA
This is a long non-coding RNA of Astatotilapia calliptera (eastern happy), 2023 nucleotides long. Lineage: Eukaryota; Metazoa; Chordata; Actinopteri; Cichliformes; Cichlidae. The record is from Ensembl.